UACGUAGGGGGCCAGCGUUGCUCGGAAUUACUGGGCGUAAAGGGUUCGUAGGUGGUGCGGCAAGUUGGGAGUGAAAUCUCUGGGCUUAGCUCAGAGGCUGCUUUCAAAACUGCCGCGCUCGAGUGCGAGAGAGGUCAGUGGAAUUGCAGGUGUAGCGGUGAAAUGCGUAGAUAUCUGCAGGAACACCCGUGGCGAAGGCGGCUGACUGGAUCGCAACUGACACUGAGGAACGAAAGCUAGGGGAGCAAACAGG
Molecule: ribosomal RNA, 253 nt
Filed under: uncultured bacterium
Lineage: Bacteria
Description: partial 16S ribosomal RNA
Rfam family: Bacterial small subunit ribosomal RNA
Source: RNAcentral